GCCCGGGUGGUGGAACUGGUAGACACGCUAGCCUUAGGAGCUAGUACCGUAAGGUGUGAAGGUUCGAGUCCUUUCCCGGGCACCA
This 85-nucleotide transfer RNA is filed under the name Candidatus Peregrinibacteria bacterium. RNAcentral describes it as "tRNA-Leu". It matches the Rfam family "tRNA". From Rfam's summary of the family: Transfer RNA (tRNA) molecules are approximately 80 nucleotides in length. Their secondary structure includes four short double-helical elements and three loops (D, anti-codon, and T loops). Lineage: Bacteria; Candidatus Peregrinibacteriota. The record is from RNAcentral. RNAcentral also lists the same sequence under 1 other name.